Nerophis ophidion (straightnose pipefish) is the source of this 3112-nucleotide long non-coding RNA. RefSeq lists it as uncharacterized. The record is from RefSeq and is a predicted model, not a curated record. The transcript is spliced from 2 exons. NCBI's taxonomy places the organism in Eukaryota, Metazoa, Chordata, Actinopteri, Syngnathiformes, Syngnathidae.
GGGGAAGACCCAGGACACGUUGGGAAGACUAUGUCUCCCGGCUGGCCUGGGAACGCCUCGGGAUCCCCCGGGAAGAGCUGGACGAAGUGGCUGUGGAGAGGGAAGUCUGGGUUUCCCUGCUUAGGCUGUUGCCCCCGCGACCCGACCUCGGAUAAGCGGAAGAUGAUGGAUGGAUGGAUGGAUAUAUAUAAUAAUAUAAAUACCGGGAAUUCAACAGUGGAAAUAAGCUAAAAAUUCAAAUUCUAAAACUGAAGAGGCCAAUAUACUGAAGGUAUACGGGACCGCGAAAACAGAAACAUCCGUAGCCAUAAACAAACAUACUGGAGGACGGCAGAGCCCACGAUGAAUUGAAAAUCCUGAAGGGCGACGGAGUCCAAAACCCAGACCUGAAACGGUUUUUCAGAAAACUGACAUUUUUUUUACGUGAAAAACAAUAAACUGGAGGGCGUCGGAGUCCACAAUGAAAAAUGUAAAUUUCCGCCGAUCAAUAUACUGAAAAGUGUGAAAGUGGGAGUGUGUGGAAGUAAUUGCCAUUAGACUAUCACUCCAUAGUAAAGUUGUGAGAAGUAAACAGUGGGUUAUUGUGGAAGAAUUAUUCAAGACACCUCCACGAUAAUAUAAAUUAAACCGCUAUCUUAGUGAAUUAUAUUUAUAUAGCGCUUUUCUCUAGUGACUCAAAGCGCUUUACAUAGUGACACCCAAUAUCUAAUUUACAUUUAAACCAGUGUGGGUGGCACUGGGAGCAGGUGGGUAAAGUGUCUUGCCCAAGGACACAACGGCAGUGACUAGGAUGGCGGAAGCGGGAAUCGAACCUGCAACCCUCAAGUUGCUGGCACGGCCGCUCUACCAACCGAGCUAUACCGAGCUUACAACAAAGACAAAAUUAGUCCUUAUAAGUUCGGCUCUCAAGGGGACGGCGGAUUACUUUGAAUUUACAAAAUGGGAAAAGGGACGAGUAAACCAAAGUAUAGUCCAAAAGAUGAACUAAAAUGUAAAGAUUAGAAAGUAAUCGAAAAACAGGAUCCUGAUAGAAUGGAUAAAUUAUUCAAAAAUUGAGGGCCAAUUAAAAACAACUUUGUUGUCCUGAAGUCAACUGUUAAUAUUAUUUACGUAAUUACAUGAUAAUACUUUUGUAUUACUUAAUAUUUUGUUUUAGUAACUGCAAUGCUUUAAUUUGGAGUUAAAGUUGUUUAUAUUUAUUGUACGCUACGAUCGGUAAACAGCAGUUAGAUGAUGUCACUUCCGCUAAAUUGGUGGACUUCUGGUAUUUCUUCGUAAGCAUUUUGUGUUUAGGGCACGUCCAACCGGUAGGAGGCCACGGGGAAGACCCAGGACACGUUGGGAAGGCCUGGGAACGCCUCAGGAUCCCCCGGGAAGAGCUAGACGAAGUGGCUGGGGUUGAGGGAAGUCUUGGUUUCCCUACUUAGGCUGUUGCCCCCGCGACCCGACCUCGGAUAAGCGGAAGAAGAUGGAUGGAUGGAUAUUUAAACGCUCCCUGAUGGCCUGAUUGUAGUACAACAACCCAUGCAACUGUCAAAUGUUCAAACAUCACCCCACCAACAGAACUAGCACUUGGUCAGGACGACUUGACCUCUUAGAUUAGAUUAGAUUAGAUAGUACUUUAUUAAUUCCGUCAGGAGAGUUCCUUCGGGAAAAUUACAAUUUUCAGCACAAUCCCAUUCUAGAUCAGACAAAUAUGACAGGGAGACAGAACAGGAUCGGUGACGGGUCUGCCGGUUUCCAGCGCCCCUUACAGAAAAGAUGAGAUACAGGUAAACAAGGGGGGUGGGGGGGAAUGGGAGGAAAAAAUAGAAGAUGAAAAUAAAAUAAAAAAAUGGGUCUUAGCCUGGGCUCUGGAGAGGGGGUGCAGACUGAGGCCUCGGGAUCCCCCGGGAAGAGCUAGACGAAGUGGCUGGGGUUGAGGGAAGUCUGGGUUUCCCUGCUUAGGCUGUUGCCCCCGCGACCCAACCUCGGAUAAAAAAAAAUAUAUAUAUAUAUAUAUAUAUUUUUUUUUGUAUUAAAUCAACAUAAAAAACACAAUAUACACUUACAAAUAGUGCACCAACCACAAAAAACUAAAUUUUUCAUGACAAAAACGUCCCUUUUUCAUGGGCCGCGGGACAAAUUAUUCGGUCCGCGGAUACAAAAAGGUUGGGGACCACUGAUUUAGGCAGAUGGGAGUCUCCCUCUGCUGGACAUUUUCCGACAUUACCGUUACAUUUUUAUAUCAAUCAAUCAAUGUUUACUUAUAUAGCCCUGAAUCACUAGUGUCUCAAAGGGCUGCACAAACCACUACCACAUCCUCAGUAGGCCCACAUAAGGGCAAGGAAAACUCACACCCAGUGGGACGUCGGUGACAAUGAUGACUAUGAGAACCUUGGAGAGGAGGAAAGCAAUGGAUGUCGAGCGGGUCUAACAUGAUACUGUGAAACUUCAAUCCAUAAUGGAUCCAACACAGUCGCGAGAGUCCAGUCCAAAGCGGAUCCAACACAGCAGCGAGAGUCCCGUUCACAGUGGAGCCAGCAGGAAACCAUCCAAAGCGGAGGCGGAUCCGCAGCCGAUACACAGGCGAGCAGUACAUGGCCACCGGAUCGGACCGGACCCCCUCCACAAGGGAGAGUGGGACAUAGGAGAAAAAGAAAAGAAACGGCAGAUCAACUGGUCUAAAAAGGGAGUAUGUCAUUGUAAACGAAUAUGCACAGAGGCAAUAAGUGUGUUGUGUCUCCUUCUUCUUUUCAGUUUUUCACCAUCUUGUCCAUGAAGAAAAUUGUCAAAAGUAAAAGGUCACGCUUACAACGACCUUCUCUUCAUUGACUCCGGUUUGGCUUGGUGUUGAGUUGGCGUUUUUUCAACGUCUCACGAGAACACUAAAACAACCAAAUUAGUAGAACUUGGUUCUUUUGCCAAUCUGCAAUCGUGCUGGGGGAAACGGAUAUGCCAUUUAUCAACAACACCCAGGAACACCGCCGGCUUUGCUGGGCCCGAGCUCAUCCAAGAUGGACUGAUGCAAAGUGGAAAAGUGUUCUGUGGUCUGACGAGUCCACAUUUCAAAUUGUGUUUGGAAACUGUGGACGUGUGGAAACAGUAAAUAAAAAGAGAAUACUACAAAUCA